CCUUGUGAAAAAAGAUUGCAGAUAGGGUCCUGAAAUGAGAAGAACUUGUUUCCAUCCAUAGGUUGGAAAGAAACAUACCAGUUCACUUGAGGUCACCUGAAGCUGUGGUUCCCCAAAUGGCAACAGCCUCCUACCUGAAGCCUCUGCACCCCUUCACUGUGGGUGAAGACUUUCCGCAGCAGCACCAGAGCUUACUCCACCAAAUGGGAGUGUAAACUGGAUCUGCAGGUGGCAGGACACCAGGGACAACCCUCAAGUAAUAGAGAUGGAAAAACAAAUCCUGAGACAAGGAUUCAAGAGUAAGAAAUUUAUUUGGAAGGUGAUCCCAGGAAACGUAAGUAGGAGAAUAGAAGAGUGAGACAGAGCAAGAAGUAACUAAUAACAGGCAUGCCCCAUGAAAGGACCAUCUGUGGCCAUUUGUGAUUUGCACCCAGCGCUGGGCAGACUCCACAAACAGGGUCAUGGUGCCACUUCUGAGUUUCUCCACUCCUCUUGGACCUCCAUCCCUCCCCUGCAUUGCUCUCUCCAUCAUCACCACUCAGCCAUGGGGCAGUCAUGGACAAUCUCAUUUCUCAAGAUCAUUGUUUCUGGGUCGGCCACUGAGGAAACUCAAACUAAGACAGAGAACAGGAGGGAGUUUCAAGGACUGUGCAUACACAGGAACCAGAGAAAAGCUCACAGGAGAUGCCAGAGACUGAGGCCAGAGGCCAAGACCUUCUGCCUCCAGAGGAUGCCUACAUCUCAGACUUGGCCCCAUAGCAGAUUAACACCUUGGCAUACACGAACUACAGCCAUCCA
Molecule: non-coding RNA, 798 nt
Organism: Manis javanica (Malayan pangolin)
Lineage: Eukaryota; Metazoa; Chordata; Mammalia; Pholidota; Manidae
Source: RefSeq, a predicted model, not a curated record